UUGGCACGGUAAGCGAUCGCUUGCAAAAGAGGAAAGUCCGAGCUGCAAUAAGACAGAGUUCCAUCUAACGGAUGGCUAGGGUAACCUAAGGGAAAGUGUAACAGAGAGCAGACUUCCGCGAAAGCGGUAAAGGUGAAACGGCGGAGUAAGAGCCCACCGGUACGCUUGGUAACUUGCGUAGCCAUAUAAACCCAACUCGCAGCAAGAAGGGAUGGUUUUGGUCUUAUGAUAAAACCCUUCGCUAGAACUUGUAUGUAAAUGCAAGAUGAGAUAAAUGAUCGCUCAAGACAGAACUCGGCUUAUCGCCGUGCCUCUAUC
RNAcentral lists this RNase P RNA (318 nucleotides) under Campylobacter californiensis. Its description in RNAcentral is "RNase P RNA component class A". It matches the Rfam family "Bacterial RNase P class A". From Rfam's summary of the family: Ribonuclease P (RNase P) is a ubiquitous endoribonuclease, found in archaea, bacteria and eukarya as well as chloroplasts and mitochondria. Its best characterised activity is the generation of mature 5'-ends of tRNAs by cleaving the 5'-leader elements of precursor-tRNAs. Cellular RNase Ps are ribonucleoproteins. The record is from RNAcentral. Lineage: Bacteria; Pseudomonadati; Campylobacterota; Epsilonproteobacteria; Campylobacterales; Campylobacteraceae.